Aedes albopictus (Asian tiger mosquito) is the source of this 1070-nucleotide long non-coding RNA. RefSeq lists it as uncharacterized. The record is from RefSeq and is a predicted model, not a curated record. NCBI's taxonomy places the organism in Eukaryota, Metazoa, Arthropoda, Insecta, Diptera, Culicidae. The transcript is spliced from 3 exons.
ACUGAACUGGACUGCACAUUAAAUCAGCGGAAUUAUUGAACUAGAUGAAAAUUGAAGGAUUAUUGUCUAAUACUACAAUGCAGUCGUCCAGGCUUUCAAUUGAAUAAGUUAGGAUUUUUAGUGAAUGCAUCGCUUAAAUUUAAAACAAUUUUGUGAAGUUCGAGAAAUCUACUUUUUUCGUCAUUUCAUGAACUAACAUUCAUGCUAAAUACGAUUUUCCCAAGUCUAGUGCAAUAUCAAUUUGAGCUCUAAGCUUAAAUGUUAUCUUUUAAAGUUGACGUUUUGACAGUUAGUAUUACAUGGGGCCAACUGCUUUGAUAAAAUCUUAAAACCAGCAAAUUCAAAACAAUUUAAGCACAAUGAAAUUGAUUUACUGAGGUUACACGCUUAAAUCUUAAAACAGAGUGACUGGUAAUUAUUGUUGCAUCCGAAUGGAGGUACAAAUUUACCUGAGUUUCAGUCCCAAAUGAAGUUAACAAAUCAUUCCUUAUCGAGCUAUUCUAUAAUUGAUAUGAAAAAUUCAUUGUGAAAUGUUUCAAAAGAUCAACAACAAAAUAUGUAAUCGAUUGUUUUUCGGCGAUGUGAAAAAAAUGUUUGCAAAUUCAAUAGAAAAGCAUGUUUUGACCCGCCUUGCCAUUUAAAAUCUAGCUGCAAAAAUGAAGUCUAAUUUCACCUCUAACGCUAUUUGCCUAUCACUCUGUAAAAACGCUGAGCUGAUAACAUUUGCAAACAUGUUCCAUAUAAAAGCUCAAAAGUCUGUGACGGCAAACUCAGUUGGCAUUUGUUGCAACGAACUUUGUCGAAAUGAAGCUAAAUAUUUUUCUAGUUCUGGCCAUUGCUUUGCUGGCGCUUUUCGGGUGCCACGCUGCACCGAAUGCAUUGCUCGAUAAGGAAUUGAGGGAAAAGCGUUCCCCUUCGGAUAUGGUAGAGCGAUCUGCGGACCAAGUCAAGAAUCUUUGUGAUGACCAUGGAUGCAACAUAAUCAUAUGAACAGUGUACCAAAAAUAUCUUGUUUGAUAUGAUACAAAAGUAAUAAAACUGUCAAUGAUAAUAAAAUGAGCACUACAAAA